This 246-nucleotide ribosomal RNA is filed under the name Triticum aestivum (bread wheat). RNAcentral's name for it is "partial small subunit ribosomal RNA". Lineage: Eukaryota; Viridiplantae; Streptophyta; Magnoliopsida; Poales; Poaceae. The record is from RNAcentral.
AUGCCCGUCACCAGGCGGAGGAGGACCACGCCCAGCGCAUGCACGUCGCACUGCGGGGUCAGCUCCCCCGUCGCCAGGUACCGCGGCUCCACAUACGGCAGCGCCACGCCGGUCGGGAGCUGUGGCGACGCCACGAGACCAGGCAUGCCGAGGCCGGCGAGCUUGCUGGAGGAGCACCGCUCGUCCUCCAGGAGGAUAUUCUCUGGCCGGACGUCGCCAUGCACUGUUGCCGUCGAGUGGAGGUAG